Molecule: ribosomal RNA, 460 nt
Filed under: uncultured bacterium
Lineage: Bacteria
Description: partial 16S ribosomal RNA
Rfam family: Bacterial small subunit ribosomal RNA
Source: RNAcentral
CCUACGGGAGGCAGCAGUGAGGAAUAUUGGUCAAUGGACGAGAGUCUGAACCAGCCAAGUCGCGUGAGGGAUGACUGCCCUAUGGGUUGUAAACUUCUUUUAUCUGGGAAUAAAACAGGGUAUGCAUACCCUCAUGUAUGUACCAUGUGAAUAAGGAACGGCGAAACCCCUGCCAGCAGCCGGGGGAAAUCGGGGGAUUCGAGCGUUAUUCGGAUUUAUUGGGUUUAAAGGGAUCGUUGGGGGAUUGUUAAGUCCGUCGUGAAAGUUUGGGGGUCAAACCUAAAAUUGCAGUUGAAACUGGCGGUCGUGAGUAGAGGAGAGGUGGGCGGAAUGCGUGGUGUAGCGGUGAAAUGCUUAGAUAUCACGAAGAACUCCGAUUGCGAAGGCAGCUCACUGGACUGCAACUGACACUGAUGCUCGAAAGUGUGUGUAUCAAACAGGAUUAGAUACCCGUGUAGUC